This 253-nucleotide ribosomal RNA is filed under the name uncultured bacterium. RNAcentral describes it as "partial 16S ribosomal RNA". It matches the Rfam family "Bacterial small subunit ribosomal RNA", at positions 524 to 776 of the family's 1533-position model. The record is from RNAcentral.
GACAGAGGCCUCAAGCGUUAGGCGGAAUCACUGGGCUUAAAGCGUGUGUAGGCGGGUCGUUAAGUACCUUGUGAAAUCCCACGGCUCACCCGUGGAACUGCUGGGUAUACUGGCGAUCUUGGGCCAUUCAGGGGCAACUGGAACAAGCGGUGGAGCGGUGAAAUGCGUAGAUAUCCGGAGGAACACCAAUGGCGAAGGCAGUGUCCUGGGAAGUACCUGACGCUCAGGUGCGAAAGCUAGGGGAGCGAACAGG